UGUUUCCGGUACGUGAACCUGCAGAUGGAUCAUC
Molecule: ribosomal RNA, 34 nt
Filed under: Heterorhabditis indica
Lineage: Eukaryota; Metazoa; Nematoda; Chromadorea; Rhabditida; Heterorhabditidae
Description: partial 18S ribosomal RNA
Source: RNAcentral